RNAcentral lists this ribosomal RNA (470 nucleotides) under uncultured bacterium. RNAcentral describes it as "bacterial SSU rRNA". It matches the Rfam family "Bacterial small subunit ribosomal RNA", at positions 335 to 799 of the family's 1533-position model. The record is from RNAcentral.
ACUCCUACGGGAGCAGCAGUAGGGAAUAUUGGUCAAUGGGCGAAAGCCUGAACCAGCCAUGCCGCGUGUCAGAUGAAGGUCCUCUGGAUUGUAAAUGACUUUUCUACGGGAAGAAUGAGCCGUCUGCGGACGGAAGUUGACGGUACCGUAGGAAUAAGCACCGGCUAACUACGUGCCAGCAGCCGCGGUAAUACGUAGGGGUGCAAGCGUUGUCCGGAUUUACUGGGUUUAAAGGGUACGUAGGCGGUUGUGCCAAGUCUGGGGUGAAAGUUUGCAGCUCAACUGUAAAAUUGCCUUGGAUACUGGUCGGCUAGAGUAGUGGAGCGGUGGCUGGAAUUUAUAGUGUAGCGGUGAAAUGCUUAGAUACUAUGAGGAACACCAAUUGCGAAGGCAGGUCACUGGUCACUAACUGACGCUGAGGUACGAAAGUGUGGGGAUCAAACAGGAUUAGAUACCCUGGUAGGAUAGCG